CAAGGUUUCCGUAGGUGAACCUGCGGAAGGAUCAUUCACAAACGAGUGUUUUAUGGCACUCUUUAAAAAUCCAUAUCCACCUUGUGUGCAAUGUUUGUUGGGAAAGUCUUUUCUUUCCCUUCAUAAAUAUCAACCUAUAUCUUUAACAACAUUCGUCUGAUAACAUAUUAUGAAUAUACUUAAUUCAAAAUAUAACUUUCAACAACGGAUCUCUUGGCUCUCGCAUCGAUGAAGAACGCAGCGAAAUGCGAUACGUAAUGUGAAUUGCAGAAUUCAGUGAAUCAUCGAAUCUUUGAACGCAUAUUGCGCUCUUUGGUAUUCCGAAGAGCAUGCUUGUUUGAGUAUCAGUAAACACCUCAACCUCUCUUUUUUGAUAAAAAAAAGGGAGGGUGGACUUGAGCUAUCCCAACGACCUUCACCGGUAGGCGGGCGGCUUGAAAUGCAGGUGCAGCUGGACUUUUAUCUGAGCUAAAAGCAUAUCUAUUUAGUCCUCGUCAAACAGGAUUAUUACUUUUGCUGCAGCUAACAUAAAGGAUAAUUGUCCUCUUUGCUGACUGAUGCAGGAUUUUACGACACUUUAUGUGUUGUUCAACUCGAUCUCAAAUCAAGUAAGACUACCCGCUGAACUUAAGCAUAUCAUAAG
RNAcentral lists this ribosomal RNA (643 nucleotides) under fungal sp. GD18A. RNAcentral describes it as "eukaryotic LSU rRNA". The stretch from base 194 to 347 matches the Rfam family "5.8S ribosomal RNA". Lineage: Eukaryota; Fungi. The record is from RNAcentral.